AAGGGUGGGUCGGGGAGACUGCAACAGCUCCUCCGAUCACCGCUACAUGGACUACCAUGGCUACGGACAGGAAGAGGCGGAGCCGGGGACAGGAUAUGACUUCAGAGCUGCCUCCGGCCACGGGGGCCAAGUCGACCAACUGGCGUGCGUCCGGGAGUUCGCGACCCCGGGCCGUCUCCACGACAACCGGCCGGGGUUCCGUCAGAGGCGUGGGGGGAGAGGGGAGGGGUGCGGUCCGGGUCGUGUGGGUAAAGGGAUACUAUCAUCCUGUCCCCCUCGAUCCCUGGUCCUACUCCAGCCAGAGGUAGCCCUGCCCAGGCUGCAGAGAGAGGAGAGGUUCCCCAGAGGAGGAGGACCAGUGGAGGAGGAGAGGUUCCCCAGAGGAGGAGGACCAGGGGAGGAGGAGCGGUUCCCCAGAGGAGGAGGACUAGGGGAGGAGAAGAGGUUCCCUAGAGGAGGAGGACCAGGGGAGGAGAGGUUCCCCAGAGGAGGAGGACCAGGGGAGGAGAGAUUCCUCAGAGGAGGACCAGGGGAGGAGGAGAGGUUCCCCAGAGGAGGAGGAUCAGGGGAGGAGGAGAGGUUCCCCAGAGGAAGCGGACCAGGGGAGGAGAGGUUCCUCAGAGGAGGAGGACCAGAGGAGGAGGAGAGGUUCCCCAGAGGAGGAGGACCAGGGGAGGAGGAGAGGUUCCCCAGAGGAGGAGGACUAGGGAAGAGAAAGGGUUUCUCCAUGGGCUGUCCCGUUGAGGAGCGUGGUGGAGGGGGUCCAGAUCCCUCCUCUUCCUGUAUAGAGCACCCAGUUCAGAUGGACUACAGACCAGACCUCCUGGACCUCAACCAGAGACCCUCCAACAUCAUCAUGUUACGCAUGCUGCCACCCAACGCUACUGCCAACGAGAUCCGUGCCCAGCUUCAGGACCAGGGGAUUGACCCAACAGAGGUUAUGAUUCGCCUGAUGACAAACAAGUCUUCAGGUGAGACUGAUCUCAUCUCCCCC
This is a long non-coding RNA of Oncorhynchus tshawytscha (Chinook salmon), 994 nucleotides long. The record is from Ensembl. NCBI's taxonomy places the organism in Eukaryota, Metazoa, Chordata, Actinopteri, Salmoniformes, Salmonidae.